UUCGUUUGCAAUGCAAUUGCUUUGACUUGUUCAAAGAGGAAAGUCUGGACACCAUUGUUCUUUUAGAACAAUAUGGAUAAUCGGUAAUGCCGAUCGGUUUAUUAGUAAUAAUAAACAAGGGAAAGUGCCGCAGAGACAAUACUAACUAACGCUUUGCGUUAGCCAAAGGUGAAAAGUGCAUUGAUGUAAUCAUUCCGAUGAUUGCUACAAAGCUCGCUUGUUGGCAACAACAGGUUGUGGUAAACCCUAUUUGGUGCAAGGCCGUGUUUCGAGAAAUCGGAAAGUGCCGCUAAAGUUGCUUGGAAACAUUCAACGUAGAUAAAUAAUUGCAACUCCUUGGAGUAACAGAAUCCAGCUUAUUUGUUUGUGAAACUA
RNAcentral lists this RNase P RNA (375 nucleotides) under bacterium. Its description in RNAcentral is "RNase P RNA component class A". It matches the Rfam family "Bacterial RNase P class A". Rfam says of the family: Ribonuclease P (RNase P) is a ubiquitous endoribonuclease, found in archaea, bacteria and eukarya as well as chloroplasts and mitochondria. Its best characterised activity is the generation of mature 5'-ends of tRNAs by cleaving the 5'-leader elements of precursor-tRNAs. Cellular RNase Ps are ribonucleoproteins. The record is from RNAcentral.